AUGCCAUUGUCCACGGAUGCCUGUGCCGCCGCUAUUGGCGAGCUUGACAUCACCUCGCUUCCACUGGAGACGCGGUUCCCGCCGUUCCGUCUGAGGCAGUACGGCGGGUUCUGGCUGCUGGAGAAGUUCCUCCAGGGCGUUCCGGCCAUCCACUCCGUCUUCGAGCCAAGGCCGUCGGACGUCCUCCUCGCGAGCUUCCCCAAGUGCGGCACCACCUGGCUCAAGGCCCUCGCCUUCGCCACGCGCAACCGGGCCGAGCACCCGCUGCGUGGCCUCGACUACCCGCUCCGCCGCCGCAACCCCCACGACAUCGUCCAGUACUUGGAGCUGCAGUACGCGCAAUCCAUGGGCCACGUGGUGGCGGCGCUCCCUUCGCCACGCGUGCUCUCGACACACCUGCCAUACUCCCUCCUGCCACGGCGCAUCACUGCGGAGGAGUCCGGCUGCAGGAUCGUCUACAUCUGCCGGGACCCCAAGGACGCAUUCGUCUCCUCGUGGUUCUUCACCAAGAAGACAGUGGCGGCGGCCGCUGCGAGAGCACGAAUCGGCGAGGAGCCGCUGCCAUACACGUUCGAGGAGGCCUUCGAGCUGUUCUGUGAUGGCAUAUGUGUCAGUGGCCCACAGUGGCGCCACGUGCUGGGGUACUGGGAGGCGAGCAGGAGGCAGCCUGAGAAGGUGCUCUUCCUCCGGUACGAGGAGAUGCUUCGGAACCCUGAGAGCAACGUGAAGAAGCUGGCGGAGUUCAUGGGGUGCGCCUUCUCCGUCGAGGAGGAGGCGACCGGGGUGGUGCAGGACAUCGUGGAGCUGUGCAGCCUCGAGAGCCUCAAGAACAUGGACGUGAACAAGAGUGGCAGCCAUGGUCCAUUGGCGCACAAGUCCUUCUUCAGGAAGGGUGUGGCCGGGGACUGGAGCAACCACAUCACGCCGGUCAUGGCGGAGAGGCUAGACAAGAUCGUCGUGGACGCGCUGCAAGGCUCGGGGUUCACCUUUGACGUCGCAGAGCCGUCUGCAUGA
This 1014-nucleotide ribosomal RNA is filed under the name Triticum aestivum (bread wheat). RNAcentral describes it as "partial small subunit ribosomal RNA". Lineage: Eukaryota; Viridiplantae; Streptophyta; Magnoliopsida; Poales; Poaceae. The record is from RNAcentral.